CACUCCUGCGGGAGGCAGCAGUGGGGAAUAUUGGACAAUGGGGGCAACCCUGAUCCAGCCAUGCCGCGUGAGUGAUGAAGGCCCUAGGGUUGUAAAGCUCUUUUGUGCGGGAAGAUAAUGACGGUACCGCAAGAAUAAGCCCCGGCUAACUUCGUGCCAGCAGCCGCGGUAAUACGAAGGGGGCUAGCGUUGCUCGGAAUCACUGGGCGUAAAGGGUGCGUAGGCGGGUCUUUAAGUCAGGGGUGAAAUCCUGGAGCUCAACUCCAGAACUGCCUUUGAUACUGAGGAUCUUGAGUCCGGAAGAGGUGAGUGGAACUGCGAGUGUAGAGGUGAAAUUCGUAGAUAUUCGCAAGAACACCAGUGGCGAAGGCGGCUCACUGGUCCGGUACUGACGCUGAGGCACGAAAGCGUGGGGAGCAAACAGGAUUAGAAACCCUGGUAGUCCCAUGAU
Molecule: ribosomal RNA, 451 nt
Filed under: uncultured organism
Description: partial 16S ribosomal RNA
Rfam family: Bacterial small subunit ribosomal RNA
Source: RNAcentral